CAGAAAUGCAUGAAUGGUAAUUUUUAAAGAUGUGUCUUCAGCGAGAAACCUCGAAAUCAGACUCGUCAUCUAAGAAAUUCAUCA
Small nuclear RNA from Eremothecium sinecaudum, 84 nucleotides. The record is from RefSeq and is a predicted model, not a curated record. NCBI's taxonomy places the organism in Eukaryota, Fungi, Ascomycota, Saccharomycetes, Saccharomycetales, Saccharomycetaceae.